GGCUGGUCCAAGUGCAGUGGUGUUUACCAGUUCAGAUUUCUAUGUGGCUUUUCUACUCCUACUGCUUCGCCUGACUAGCCUACA
Molecule: Y RNA, 84 nt
Organism: Callithrix jacchus (white-tufted-ear marmoset)
Lineage: Eukaryota; Metazoa; Chordata; Mammalia; Primates; Cebidae
Rfam family: Y RNA
About the family: Y RNAs are components of the Ro ribonucleoprotein particle (Ro RNP), in association with Ro60 and La proteins. The Y RNAs and Ro60 and La proteins are well conserved, but the function of the Ro RNP is not known.
Source: Ensembl